CGAGUCUGCCUUGAAGAUCGGAGUGCUUGCACUCUGUGAAACAAGAUACAGGCUAGCGGCGGACGGGUGAGUAACACGUGGGUAACCUGCCCAAGAGAUCGGGAUAACACCUGGAAACAGAUGCUAAUACCGGAUAACAACAGAUGAUGCCUAUCAACUGUUUAAAAGAUGGUUCUGCUAUCACUCUUGGAUGGACCUGCGGUGCAUUAGCUAGUUGGUAGGGUAACGGCCUACCAAGGCGAUGAUGCAUAGCCGAGUUGAGAGACUGAUCGGCCACAUUGGGACUGAGACACGGCCCAAACUCCUACGGGAGGCAGCAGUAGGGAAUCUUCCACAAUGGACGCAAGUCUGAUGGAGCAACGCCGCGUGAGUGAAGAAGGGUUUCGGCUCGUAAAGCUCUGUUGUUGGUGAAGAAGGACGGGGGUAGUAACUGACCUUUGUUUGACGGUAAUCAAUUAGAAAGUCACGGCUAACUACGUGCCAGCAGCCGCGGUAAUACGUAGGUGGCAAGCGUUGUCCGGAUUUAUUGGGCGUAAAGCGAGUGCAGGCGGUUCGAUAAGUCUGAUGUGAAAGCCUUCGGCUCAACCGGAGAAUUGCAUCAGAAGCUGUCGAGCUUGAGUACAGAAGAGGAGAGUGGAACUCCAUGUGUAGCGGUGAAAUGCGUAGAUAUAUGGAAGAACACCGGUGGCGAAGGCGGCUCUCUGGUCUGUUACUGACGCUGAGGCUCGAAAGCAUGGGUAGCGAACAGGAUUAGAUACCCUGGUAGUCCAUGCCGUANACGAUGAGUGCUAAGUGUUGGGAGGUUUCCGCCUCACAGUGCUGCAGCUAACGCAUUAAGCACUC
RNAcentral lists this ribosomal RNA (843 nucleotides) under uncultured bacterium. RNAcentral describes it as "bacterial SSU rRNA". It matches the Rfam family "Bacterial small subunit ribosomal RNA", at positions 58 to 869 of the family's 1533-position model. The record is from RNAcentral.